AGUGAACGCUGGCGGCGUGCUUAAUACAUGCAAGUCGAACGAUGAAGUCCUAGCUUGCUAGGAUGGAUUAGUGGCGCACGGGUGAGUAAUAUAUAGUUAAUCUGCCUUGCACUGAGGAACAACAGUUGGAAACGAUUGCUAAUACCUCAUACUCCAACUUUACAUAAGUUAAGUUGGGAAAGUCUUUUCGGUGCAAGAUGAGACUAUAUCGUAUCAGCUAGUUGGUAAGGUAAUGGCUUACCAAGGCUAUGACGCGUAACUGGUCUGAGAGGAUGAUCAGUCACAUUGGGACUGAGACACGGUCCAAACUCCUACGGGAGGCAGCAGUAAGGAAUAUUGUGCAAUGGGGGAAACCCUGACGCAGCAACGCCGCGUGGAGGAUGACACUUUUCGGAGCGUAAACUCCUUUUGUUAGGGAAGAAUAAUGACGGUACCUAACGAAUAAGCACCGGCUAACUCCGUG
RNAcentral lists this ribosomal RNA (463 nucleotides) under uncultured bacterium. Its description in RNAcentral is "partial 16S ribosomal RNA". It matches the Rfam family "Bacterial small subunit ribosomal RNA", at positions 29 to 507 of the family's 1533-position model. The record is from RNAcentral.